UGGGAAUGCAGCCUUCCAAGGUGACCCUGCAGGGUGGUAAUCAGAGGAAUAAAUAGACAUACCUGAUUAUCUUAAAUCCUUGGUUUUCCUAUUGAUGCUUUCUAUUAACUGGACCCAGUCAGAAACAAAAGACAAGAGAGUCAUUGAUGUGAUCUGCACAGUAGAUUGGCCAAAGGAGAAGAGAAAGGCAACUGAUUGAGAGGACUAAAAAACUUAUGAAGAAGCGGGUAUACUUCAGCCAGCAUGUCAAUUUCAUCCAUUUUUGUUUACGUUUUUAAAGCCAUCACAUACAUUUUGGCAGGCCUGAAUUAAUCAAGUGAACCCUUUAAAAGAAGGUGGUUCAGUUCCAGAGACAUGCUGUGUACUGCUGGCCUCAAGGAAGAGUUAUCUAGUUGCUGAGAGUGGCUUCCAGAAGACAGACAGGUAAUGAAUGGUGAUUUCAAU
RNAcentral lists this long non-coding RNA (444 nucleotides) under Pan troglodytes (chimpanzee). Its description in RNAcentral is "long non-coding RNA NONPTRT006355". The record is from RNAcentral. Lineage: Eukaryota; Metazoa; Chordata; Mammalia; Primates; Hominidae.